RNAcentral lists this ribosomal RNA (491 nucleotides) under uncultured bacterium. RNAcentral describes it as "bacterial SSU rRNA". It matches the Rfam family "Bacterial small subunit ribosomal RNA", at positions 30 to 513 of the family's 1533-position model. The record is from RNAcentral.
AUUGAACGCUGGCGGCGUGCCUAACACAUGCAAGUCGAGCGGUAACAGGUGUGGCAAUACAUGCUGACGAGCGGCGAACGGGUGAGUAAUGCUUCGGAAUCUACCCAAUGGUGGGGAAUAACCAGCCGAAAGGUUGGCCAAUACCGCAUACGUCCCACGGGAGAAAGCAGGGGAUCGCAAGACCUUGCGCCAAUGGAUGAGCCGAAGUCGGAUUAGCUAGUUGGAGGGUAACGGCCUACCAAGGCGACGAUCCGUAGCUGGUCUGAGAGGACGACCAGCCACACUGGGACUGAGACACGGCCCAGACUCCUACGGGAGGCAGCAGUGGGGAAUAUUGGACAAUGGGGGAAACCCUGAUCCAGCGACGCCGCGUGUGUGAAGAAGGCCUGCGGGUUGUAAAGCACUUUUUAGUGGGGAUGAAAUGUUCAGGGUUAACACCUCUGGAUUUUGACCUAACCCACAGAAAAGCACCGGCUAACUCUGUGCCAGCA